RNAcentral lists this ribosomal RNA (468 nucleotides) under uncultured bacterium. Its description in RNAcentral is "partial 16S ribosomal RNA". It matches the Rfam family "Bacterial small subunit ribosomal RNA", at positions 28 to 507 of the family's 1533-position model. The record is from RNAcentral.
GACGAACGCUGGCGGCGUGCUUAACACAUGCAAGUCGAACGGAAAGGCCCUGCUUUUGUGGGGUGCUCGAGUGGCGAACGGGUGAGUAACACGUGAGUAACCUGCCCUUGACUUUGGGAUAACUUCAGGAAACUGGGGCUAAUACCAGAUAGGAGCUCCUGCUGCAUGGUGGGGGUUGGAAAGUUUCGGCGGUUGGGGAUGGACUCGCGGCUUAUCAGCUUGUUGGUGGGGUAGUGGCUUACCAAGGCUUUGACGGGUAGCCGGCCUGAGAGGGUGACCGGCCACAUUGGGACUGAGAUACGGCCCAGACUCCUACAGGAGGCAGCAGUGGGGAAUAUUGCACAAUGGGCGGAAGCCUGAUGCAGCAACGCCGCGUGCGGGAUGACGGCCUUCGGGUUGUAAACCGCUUUCGCCUGUGACGAAGCGUGAGUGACGGUAAUGGGUAAAGAAGCACCGGCUAACUACGUG